UAGGGAAUCUUCCGCAAUGGGCGAAAGCUUGACGGAGCAACGCCGCGUGAGUGAUGAAGGUCUUCGGAUCGUAAAACUCUGUUAUUAGGGAAGAACAAAUGUGUAAGUAACUAUGCACGUCUUGACGGUACCUAAUCAGAAAGCCACGGCUAACAACGUGCCAGCAGCCGCGGUAAUACGUAGGUGGCAAGCGUUAUCCGGAAUUAUUGGGCGUAAAGCGCGCGUAGGCGGUUUUUUAAGUCUGAUGUGAAAGCCCACGGCUCAACCGUGGAGGGUCAUUGGAAACUGGAAAACUUGAGUGCAGAAGAGGAAAGUGGAAUUCCAUGUGUAGCGGUGAAAUGCGCAGAGAUAUGGAGGAACACCAGUGGCGAAGGCGACUUUCUGGUCUGUAACUGACGCUGAUGUGCGAAAGCGUGGGGAUCAAACAGG
RNAcentral lists this ribosomal RNA (429 nucleotides) under Actinomycetes bacterium. Its description in RNAcentral is "Actinobacteria bacterium partial 16S ribosomal RNA". It matches the Rfam family "Bacterial small subunit ribosomal RNA", at positions 355 to 776 of the family's 1533-position model. The record is from RNAcentral. Lineage: Bacteria; Bacillati; Actinomycetota; Actinomycetes.